UACGUAGGGGGCGAGCGUUGUCCGGAAUCACUGGGCGUAAAGCGCGCGCAGGCGGUCUUUUACGUCAGGGGUGAAAGCCCGGGGCUCAACCUCGGGACUGCCUUUGAUACGGGAAGACUUGAGGAUCGGAGAGGCAAGGGGAAUUCCACGUGUAGCGGUGAAAUGCGUAGAGAUGUGGAGGAACACCAGUGGCGAAGGCGCCUUGCUGGCCGAUGACUGACGCUGAGGCGCGAAAGCGUGGGGAGCAAACAGG
RNAcentral lists this ribosomal RNA (253 nucleotides) under uncultured bacterium. RNAcentral describes it as "partial 16S ribosomal RNA". It matches the Rfam family "Bacterial small subunit ribosomal RNA", at positions 524 to 776 of the family's 1533-position model. The record is from RNAcentral.